GACAGCCAAAUGAAGCAGUUGUAACUCAAUAUUAUACUAAAAGCACUGCAGAACUUUCAGACAGCAAAGUAAUGUUCGUGAAUAAGAGUCUAAGCCUUCUGUCGCUCUUUAGUUUCUGAUAAACAAUAGCUAUGGCACUACUGGAGACAAACUUUAUGACCAAUAUAAACAAUUGUACUGUACAUGUACUAUAUUAUAUUAAUAUAUAAAAUCAUAUUGCGUUAUUCCCAGAAGGGGUAGACAGAGUUAAAAUAUUAUCUAUAUGGUUUCGCCAACUUAUCUUUCUUCCAUCUUAGUCUAUCCCCACAGAGGACACUAAUUCGAUGUAAAAUAAUAAUAAAUUUAAUAUGCUAUGGAUAAAUUAAAAUUUAUAUUAAAAAUUAUUUGAUUGUAGCUUCAUGAACAUUUCAUUUUCAAAUGCUGUAUAUUGUGAUACUCAUGGUAAUGAGUUUUCAUUCGAGAACCUGUAUGUUCAAGCCAGAAAUAUAAGAUAUGUCCACAUUCCUGAAACUAUGCCAAUAAUUUCGACGAUAAAGAAUGAAGUGUGCAGACAAAGAGCACCAAGGCCAGCCAUUAAGGAAUUAGCUGCCAAUUCCAGGAAAAUGAAGAAAGCACUCAAACAACACAUGGAAAUUGUUGCAUCAUUGGAUACUGAAUAGUACUGCAAGUUUAACCUAUGUUUAUAAUUAGAGAAUUAAAUAAAAAAUAAUGUUGAAAGAAA
Manduca sexta (tobacco hornworm) is the source of this 721-nucleotide long non-coding RNA. RefSeq lists it as uncharacterized. The transcript has 2 exons. Lineage: Eukaryota; Metazoa; Arthropoda; Insecta; Lepidoptera; Sphingidae. The record is from RefSeq and is a predicted model, not a curated record.